Molecule: long non-coding RNA, 1764 nt
Filed under: Salvia miltiorrhiza (redroot sage)
Lineage: Eukaryota; Viridiplantae; Streptophyta; Magnoliopsida; Lamiales; Lamiaceae
Description: long non-coding RNA (SMIL_LNC000470)
Source: RNAcentral
UUAGCGUUUAAAAGGAACACAAUUGCCCUAAAAAAUUCCAUUUCCGAUUACGAAAGUAGUUGGAAACAAACUCUGGGUUGCAAUACGAAAACCUCUUGAAAUUGGAAGAGUUUUCUUUAUUUCUGAUCAUACCAAACAGCUGAUUAUUCCGACCAUUUUUGAGACAAUUUAAAUUUGUUGGAUAUCUUCGCCAGAGGUUCACCUCUUGGUUCCCGACCGUCCUGUCUACUUCACAGCUGCUCAAGCUUGAAUUCCCAAAUCUUCUCUUCACUUCCUUCAACUCCUUCUCACCUGUAUUACCUGCAAAACGAGAAAGAAAACAGCAAGUAAAAGGAACCAAAAGAGAGUUAAAGAAGAUAAAAACCAAGAGAGAGAUUUCAGCUGUGGAAAAGUGUGUCUUGGAGACACAGGUGGCUCAAAUUUUCCCACGGAGACGAAGUACUUUCGGCAACAACACCAACCACAGCCACAAGGUAGAUCAAUGGUGAGAACACCGCACGAAGCUCACACAAUCAGUCACCAAACAGGAAACCACAGACAAGAAUCCGGCGACACAGGAAAGGAAUAGCAGAGCCUUUCAGAGAGUGAAUCUCGUGUGUUGUUGCUUGCAUUGAUCGCAGGGAAUGGAGGGGUUAAGAAGGGAGAGAGCCAGGGCCGUUUCUGACGAAAAAUGGGCCCAGGGCGAAACGAUAAAAAUGGACCCUCUAUUCACCAUCAUAACAACACAAAAAAAAACACUUUUUUAAAGUCAUAUUAUAAUAUUUCGGUAAAAAUAUAUUAAUAAUUAUAAAAAAAUGACUUAUUCUCGCCUUUUUUACUUGCAAAGUCAUCUAUAAGAACAUUUGUUUCAAUAUUUUUUAAGAUAUAUUUUUUAAUACAAAAAAUUGCUAAACUAUUUAAUCUUUUUUGCCAUAUCGACGUUUUUAAAUAUGUCUUCAAUAAUUUUAACUUCCAUAAACUCUUCUCAGCCGAAGCUACUGUUACAGACAUAGUUAACAAUAUUGCAACAUUUGGAUAACAAUCUGUAAUUUUCAUAAAUUCAAGAAUUUCAAUAGUUGAAGUUAUUUUAUUUGAUAAUUUCAUUUGUAAUAUUUUUAAUUCAAUAAAUAAAUCAUCUAACUCAUAUAAUGAGUAAAAGUACAUUUAAAAUUAACACAUUAAUGUCUUAAUUUUUCACUAUCCAAAAAUUUUAAAGUUUUCGAAUCAAAUGAAAAACCAAAUAUAUGAUCAAAUGAUUUCAUUUCUUUAAAUCUACAUUUUAAAGAAGUAAUCGUUAUGUCCACAACAACUACAAAAUAUUCAAAUUCUAAAUGACAUUUUAUUAAAAAUGUUGGCUCCAUAUUCAUAUUAGAUGCAAAAACUCUUAGCAAUAGUCAAACUUGUAUUAGAUAUUAGACCUUCUAAUUGUUUCAUGAUAGAGUCAAUGCGCAUAGUAUACACAAAAAAUGAUAUUAGACCUUAUAAUUUUUGGGGGCCCCAAAAUUAUUCAGGAUGAAAUUUUUUGGGCCUCAUUUUUUUUAUUCAAUGCUAAUAGUAUACACAAGAAGAAAGUUAAGCCAAUAAUAAUAAUAGUAUAUAUAAGAAAAUAACAAAAAAUUUGGGCCCCCAAAAAUGAUGGGUCCUGGGCGGUCGCCCAUGCUGGCCCGCCCUCAGAGACGGCCCUGGAGAGAGCAUUGAAGGCGUUUGUGUAAUCGAGGGUUCGGGGAGAUGAAAGGGUGGAGAGGAUCUGAUUAGUGUAAAAGUGAGGAGGCGGAGGGAGAAAAG